GUGCCAGGCAGCCGCGGUAAUACGGAGGGUGCAAGCGUUGUCCGGAAUCACUGGGCGUAAAGGGUGCGCAGGCGGGGCAGCAAGUCGGAGGUGAAAUCCCACGGCUCAACCGUGGAAGUGCCUUCGAAACUGUUGCUCUUGAGUCCCGGAGAGGUUGCCGGAAUUCGUGGUGUAGCGGUGAAAUGCGUAGAUAUCACGAGGAACACCAGAGGCGAAAGCGGGCAACUGGACGGGUACUGACGCUCAGGCACGAAAGCGCGGGGAGCAAACAGGAUUAGAAACCCGAGUACC
RNAcentral lists this ribosomal RNA (291 nucleotides) under uncultured bacterium. RNAcentral's name for it is "partial 16S ribosomal RNA". It matches the Rfam family "Bacterial small subunit ribosomal RNA", at positions 505 to 794 of the family's 1533-position model. The record is from RNAcentral.